Onthophagus taurus is the source of this 243-nucleotide non-coding RNA. NCBI's taxonomy places the organism in Eukaryota, Metazoa, Arthropoda, Insecta, Coleoptera, Scarabaeidae. The record is from RefSeq and is a predicted model, not a curated record.
GAAAUUAAAUUGUAUAAUUAAGAUUGCUAAUUUUAUUUCAAAAACUAGUUUUCUUGCACUUAUGUCGAUAUCGAAGAUGGAAUUUGACCUAAAUUCACCAAAGGCAACAAAAAAGAGACGGGAAAACGUUUUUAUUGAUUCGUAAUUUCCGGUUUCAUCAAAAAAUCGACUUAAUAUCGACAUUAACUUGAUAAAUGUAACGGUUACUCCAAAGAUUUUUUAUUGCAAGUGAGAUCAUCGUUU